Molecule: long non-coding RNA, 762 nt
Filed under: Triticum aestivum (bread wheat)
Lineage: Eukaryota; Viridiplantae; Streptophyta; Magnoliopsida; Poales; Poaceae
Description: long non-coding RNA (TAES_LNC017137)
Source: RNAcentral
AGGCACUGAAUGCCUUUAAUGCGGGAGACACGCACCUCCGUGCCGCUCGAGAUGGUCUAACCAGAGCCACGAAGCAGUAUGUGAAAGACAUACGGGUGAGGAAUUUGAAUAGUUAUAUAAGCCAGUAGCCCCCGAGACUUAAAAUAGUUAGAAUAACUGAUUUAAGGAUCAUUUGUUAUGCAGGAUCUUACUCAGAAGAAUACCCACCUGUCCCAAGAGCUUCAAGAGUGCAAAGCCCAACUUGAGGCCGCACUAGCCGCCGCAGGGGGAGGCACAGAGACUCCCUCUGGUAAUACAUACUUCGAAAAGAUAAGUGGUUUAUGAAGUGCGGCGUGUGCGUAAGCCUGGCAAUUGAAUUGCAGAGGGUGCCGGAUUGGAACCGGACAAGCAACAUCUGCUGCGCCAGCUGAAGGCCGGCGAGAAGGUGCUUACGAGGGUGCAGCAGGAGAGGAACAAACUCCAAGAUGCCAACACCCGGCUGGGCGAAGAACUAAAAGAUGUUCGGGUCCAGCUGGCUGACUCUGUAAAGGAGAAUCGGCGGCUUCGUCGCGACAUUUACAGUAAGUGCUUGAGCAAACUCUUUUGAAAAGAAGAGUUCGGCGAGGAAGUCGAUUGACAGAAAUGUGUCUGUAGGUGUGCUCACGGGUCGUCCGGCGGAGGAGAUGCCGGCUUCCACGGGUGACCUUCUUCCCGAGCUGCUGCAACUGCACGAACGUAUUCGGCAGGCGAUGAGCGGCGUCGUCCAGGCCUUAUGGCCGACCG